GAUGAACGCUGGCGGCGUGCCUAAUACAUGCAAGUCGAGCGAAUGGAUUAAGAGCUUGCUCUUAUGAAGUUAGCGGCGGACGGGUGAGUAACACGUGAGUAACCUGCCCAUAAGACUGGGAUAACUCCGGGAAACCGGGGCUAAUACCGGAUAACGUUUUGAACCGCAUGGGUCGAAAUUGGAAGGCGGCUUCGGCUGUCACUUAUGGAUGGCCCCGCGUCGCAUUAGCUAGUUGGUGAGGUAACGGCUCACCAAGGCAACGAUGCGUAGCCGACCUGAGAGGGUGAUCGGCCACACUGGGACUGAGACACGGCCCAGACUCCUACGGGAGGCAGCAGUAGGGAAUCUUCCGCAAUGGACGAAAGUCUGACGGAGCAACGCCGCGUGAGUGACGAAGGCUUUCGGGUCGUAAAACUCUGUUGUUAGGGAAGAACAAGUGCUAGUUGAAUAAGCUGGCACCUUGACGGUACCUAACCAGAAAGCCACGGCUAACUACGUGCCAGCCGCCGCGGUAA
Molecule: ribosomal RNA, 515 nt
Filed under: uncultured bacterium
Lineage: Bacteria
Description: partial 16S ribosomal RNA
Rfam family: Bacterial small subunit ribosomal RNA
Source: RNAcentral